GUAGGGGGCAAGCGUUAUCCGGAUUUACUGGGUGUAAAGGGAGCGUAGACGGCACAGCAAGUCUGAUGUGAAAGCCCGGGGCCCAACCCCGGAACUGCAUUGGAAACUGCUGGGCUUGAGUGCAGGAGAGGUAAGCGGAAUUCCUAGUGUAGCGGUGAAAUGCGUAGAUAUUAGGAGGAACACCAGUGGCGAAGGCGGCUUACUGGACUGUAACUGACGUUGAGGCUCGAAAGCGUGGGGAGCAAACAGGAUUAGAUACCCUGGUAGUCCACGCCGUAAACGAUGAUUACUAGGUGUCGGGGGACCAAGGUCCUUCGGUGCCGCCGCAAACGCAAUAAGUAAUCCACCUGGGGAGU
RNAcentral lists this ribosomal RNA (356 nucleotides) under uncultured bacterium. RNAcentral describes it as "bacterial SSU rRNA". It matches the Rfam family "Bacterial small subunit ribosomal RNA", at positions 527 to 881 of the family's 1533-position model. The record is from RNAcentral.